Molecule: long non-coding RNA, 1619 nt
Organism: Homo sapiens (human)
Lineage: Eukaryota; Metazoa; Chordata; Mammalia; Primates; Hominidae
Gene: TNS2-AS1
Product: TNS2 antisense RNA 1
Source: Ensembl
AAAGAGCCGAGGGGAGAGAGGGUGCGCAGACGGCCAGCCGGGCCGCGCCAGGGACAUACUGGAGACAGGAAGUGGCUGAGAGGGGGAGAGAGUUGGAGAGAGACGGCCGCGGAGGACACGGGGACGGGAAAGUCUGAGAGACGGGGAGAGCCUGACCCGGCGGGACACAGGCAGAAAGAAACACGCGAGCCAGACAGACGCAGAAGAAACGGUGGGCUGCCUGGUACUGGAUAGGAACUUCAUGGAAUGGAGCUAAUGGGCCGUAGGGCAGGUUUGAGUCGUGCCACCCUGGAGCAGAAGGUGGAGGGUAGGGAUAAGGGUGGAGAGAAACUAGGAGAAAAGCACAGGAUGUAGAGGUCUAUUCGGCAUAAUCUUCUCCCUCAUUUUCAUCUUCACCAUCAACAGAGAGAGCAGCAUACUUGCUUGCAGAACUGAACUUCUGUAACACAACGAGAGUGACAGGAUAAUGAAGGCCCUGAAUUAUCACAUCAAAACCCAAGACACAGGAUACUGAUCCUUUGGCAAUGGGGGAUGACAGUCAGAUGACACCCACUUGCUUGCUCAUCAGCAUUGUCCAUUGGAGAGGAGCUAGGGAAGAGGGUCAGAGGCACAUGCGAUCUUACUAUAGUCUCAUACCACCUCUACACCUUGCAGAAGGGAUGAGAACAAAGGAAGACAGAAACCAGGAAAAAGCUAAACUUCUUUCGCUAUUUCAGUAAAGACCAAUGUCUUAUUUCCAAACACUUUGUAUUCCAAAUGGAAAGAAGUCCAACGGCAAAAAGUUUAGAAUACUAAGAAUUUUUAAUUCUUAGUAAGAAUACUUAGAAUUCUAAGAAUUUUUCUUAGAAUGAAAAAUUGGGAGCAGCCUUCAACACUUACGGAAGCUGGAUUUUCCUCAGGUUUCUUUGGCUCAGGUGCAGAUCUGGAGUCUUGAUCCUUUUUGCCAUCUUUCCUGCAGAGACGUAAGCAUAAAACCAUGUCUUUAGGAAAGGACUCGCCUAAUACAAACAUGUGUAUGCAUGCAGUUUCAAGGCACUGAACAGGCACCUCUAGUCAACAGUCCUUGUUGUCUGGAUGAUGUAUUACUUCUAGAUUUUCAGAAUCUUAACUGUCUACGUUGGCUGACUUUAGUUUGCUCACAAUGAGCGAUCUGGCAGUGCUCUGAGAACCAAGAACUUAAUUUCUUAAUUACACAAACAUGUGGAUCAGAGGAAAGAUGAGAAAGAGAACAAGCAUACCUAUCUGACUCCUUCCAGUGGUCUCUGUUCCCUCCGUCGCCUGGACCACGGCUAGAGUUCCCAGUUUGGCCUUUUGGGGCAUUCAUCCCAUCUACUUUAUUUUCAUCUGCUUGGGCAGUAAUGUAAACAAAUUAAAGGCAAGUAAAAGUAUCAAUGUCCCUCUCCUAAGAUUUCCCUUAAGCUGAAGAAAAUUGUGCCCACAUGUACUGAGGGAAACUAACCUCACCCCAACCCAGACUUCCUUCCUGAAGCCCUUCUUUCCACAUCCUCUACAGCACACAAAAAUACAAAAAACAAACAAAAUCCACUAAAAAGUUCCAUGUAGGGAUAUGCCAUCAUGAAAAGCAAGCUGGAAAUAAAGAUUAUGACGCUCUGUAGUGA